Molecule: ribosomal RNA, 716 nt
Filed under: uncultured bacterium
Lineage: Bacteria
Description: bacterial SSU rRNA
Rfam family: Bacterial small subunit ribosomal RNA
Source: RNAcentral
AGUGGCGGACGGGUGAGUAAUGCGUGAGCAACCUGCCCUUCGGAGGGGGACAACAGUUGGAAACGACUGCUAAUACCGCAUAAUGUAUCGAGAAGGCAUCUUCAUGAUACCAAAGAUUUAUCGCCGAAGGAUGGGCUCACGUCUGAUUAGUUAGUUGGUGGGGUAAUGGCCUACCAAGACUGCGAUCAGUAGCCGGACUGAGAGGUUGACCGGCCACAUUGGGACUGAGAUACGGCCCAGACUCCUACGGGAGGCAGCAGUGGGGAAUAUUGGGCAAUGGGCGAAAGCCUGACCCAGCAACGCCGCGUGAAGGAAGAAGGCUUUCGGGUUGUAAACUUCUUUUAGCAGGGACGAAGACGUGACGGUACCUGCAGAAUAAGCUCCGGCUAACUACGUGCCAGCAGCCGCGGUAAUACGUAGGGAGCAAGCGUUAUCCGGAUUUACUGGGUGUAAAGGGCGCGUAGGCGGGAGUAUAAGUCAGAUGUGAAAUCUGGAGGCUCAACCUCCAAACUGCAUUUGAAACUGCUUUUCUUGAGUAUCGGAGAGGUAAUCGGGAUUCCUUGUGUAGCGGUGAAAUGCGUAGAUAUAAGGAAGAACACCAGUGGCGAAGGCGGAUUACUGGACGACAACUGACGGUGAGGCGCGAAAGCGUGGGGAGCAAACAGGAUUAGAUACCCUGGUAGUCCACGCUGUAAACGAUCAAUACUAGGUGUGCG